Small nucleolar RNA from Zingiber officinale, 106 nucleotides. The record is from RefSeq and is a predicted model, not a curated record. Lineage: Eukaryota; Viridiplantae; Streptophyta; Magnoliopsida; Zingiberales; Zingiberaceae.
AAACUAUGAUGUGGGUAUUGUCUGAGCAUGUUAUUGUAUCUAUCUCAUGCUUCAAAUAAAGAUUCUGAGUCUGAUUAUCUAAAACUUGUGAUAAGAUUUCUCAUAU